RNAcentral lists this ribosomal RNA (513 nucleotides) under uncultured bacterium. RNAcentral's name for it is "partial 16S ribosomal RNA". It matches the Rfam family "Bacterial small subunit ribosomal RNA", at positions 28 to 523 of the family's 1533-position model. The record is from RNAcentral.
GAUGAACGCUGGCGGCGUGCCUAAUACAUGCAAGUCGAACGCGCAGCGAAAGGUGCUUGCACCUUUCAAGCGAGUGGCGAACGGGUGAGUAACACGUGGAUAACCUGCCUCAAGGCUGGGGAUAACAUUUGGAAACAGAUGCUAAUACCGAAUAAAACUUAGUAUCGCAUGAUACAAAGUUAAAAGGCGCUACGGCGUCACCUAGAGAUGGAUCCGCGGUGCAUUAGUUAGUUGGUGGGGUAAAGGCUUACCAAGACGAUGAUGCAUAGCCGAGUGGAGAGACUGAUCGGCCACAAUGGGACUGAGACACGGCCCAAACUCCUACGGGAGGCUGCAGUAGGGAAUCUUACACAAUGGGCGCAAGCCUGAUGGAGCAACGCCGCGUGUGUGAUGAAGGCUUUCGGGUCGUAAAGCACUGUUGUAUGGGAAGAAAUGCUAAAAUAGGGAAUGAUUUUAGUUUGACGGUACCAUACCAGAAAGGGACGGCUAAAUACGUGCCAGCAGCCGCGGUAA